AAAGCAGUGCAGGACUGACGGAUAAGUGGAAUUGACCACGUGCUCUGCAUUGUGUAACUUGCCGACCGUCUGGGCAGAGAAA
RNAcentral lists this non-coding RNA (82 nucleotides) under Acidaminococcus intestini. RNAcentral's name for it is "ZTP sequence". It matches the Rfam family "ZMP/ZTP riboswitch aptamer (pfl RNA motif)". Rfam says of the family: Previously known as pfl RNA. Lineage: Bacteria; Bacillati; Bacillota; Negativicutes; Acidaminococcales; Acidaminococcaceae. The record is from RNAcentral. RNAcentral also lists the same sequence under 1 other name.